CUACGGGCCGCUCCAGGCGAGAAAACUUUGCAAUGUGCGCAAGCACGACAAGGUUAAUCCGAGUGGUUUCUGCUAAAGGAACCUUUUGACAGUCCUAGAAACACUGUUGAAUAAGGGGUGGGCAAGUUCUGGUGUCAGCCGCCGCGGUAAAACCAGCACCUCAAGUGGUCAGGAUGAUUAUUGGGCCUAAAGCAUCCGUAGCCGGCUCUGUAAGUUUUCGGUUAAAUCUGUACGCUUAACGUACAGGCUGCCGGGAAUACUGCAGAGCUAGGAAGUGGGAGAGGUAGACGGUACUAGGUAGGAAGGGGUAAAAUCCUUUGAUCUAUUGAUGACCACCAGUGGCGAAGGCGGUCUACCAGAACACGUCCGACGGUGAGGGAUGAAAGCUGGGGGAGCAAACCGGAUUAGAUACCCCAGUAGUC
This 422-nucleotide ribosomal RNA is filed under the name uncultured archaeon. Its description in RNAcentral is "partial 16S ribosomal RNA". It matches the Rfam family "Archaeal small subunit ribosomal RNA", at positions 323 to 746 of the family's 1478-position model. The record is from RNAcentral.